UUUCCGGUUAGCGCGGCGUGAGAAGCUAUGAGCAGCAAAGUCUCUCGCGACACCCUGUACGAGGCGGUGCGGGAAGUCCUGCAUGGGAACCAGCGCAAGCGCCGCAAGUGAGUGCCGACCCUGGGGCACGGCGCGGGUGGCGAGGGCCGGCGGGUGCUUAAUCCCCCUCCUCUCUCGAAGGUUCCUGGAGACGGUGGAGUUGCAGAUCAGCUUGAAGAACUAUGACCCCCAGAAGGACAAGCGCUUCUCGGGCACCGUCAGGUUGGCACCGUUCUGAUCCCACCCAGCCCUCAGUGCCCCCGUGCCUGCCCCUCCCCUGCAGGCUCCCGCUGAGCCGGAGGCGGGCACGUCGGUACUGAUGUGCUAGGGUAGUUCAGACCCCCUGCUCCAGGCAGACGCGGCUGGACGGACCCCCACCCUGGGUCUUAAAACAUGAGGGGAGGCGUGGGGAGGCCUUGGCCGAGCCCGCCGGCCAGCCUGAGAAGCUAGGCUGGCUGCUGGUGAAUGUGAACGCUCCGGGUAAGGCUCGGUGGCUGCUGCGGUCCCAGACCUUUCACCGGCCCUUGGGACCCAGGGCUAGGCAUAACCUGUUGGUGCUGUCCCCCAAAACGCAGGCUUAAGUCCACUCCCCGCCCUAAGUUCUCUGUGUGUGUCCUGGGGGACCAGCAGCACUGUGACGAGGCUAAGGCCGUGGAUAUCCCCCACAUGGACAUCGAGGCGCUGAAAAAACUCAACAAGAAUAAAAAACUGGUCAAGAAGCUGGCCAAGAAGUAUGAUGCGUUUUUGGCCUCAGAGUCUCUGAUCAAGCAGAUUCCACGAAUCCUCGGCCCAGGUCUAAAUAAGGCAGGAAAGUUCCCUUCCCUGCUCACACACAACGAAAACAUGGUGGCCAAAGUGGAUGAGGUGAAGUCCACAAUCAAGUUCCAAAUGAAGAAGGUGUUAUGUCUGGCUGUAGCUGUUGGUCACGUGAAGAUGACAGACGAUGAGCUUGUGUAUAACAUUCACCUGGCUGUCAACUUCUUGGUGUCAUUGCUCAAGAAAAACUGGCAGAAUGUCCGGGCCUUAUAUAUCAAGAGCACCAUGGGCAAGCCCCAGCGUCUAUAUUAAGGCACAUUUGAAUAAAUUCUAUUACCAGUUCCCUC
This 1142-nucleotide small RNA is filed under the name Pongo abelii (Sumatran orangutan). RNAcentral's name for it is "processed transcript". The record is from RNAcentral. Lineage: Eukaryota; Metazoa; Chordata; Mammalia; Primates; Hominidae.